Molecule: non-coding RNA, 26 nt
Filed under: Cricetulus griseus (Chinese hamster)
Lineage: Eukaryota; Metazoa; Chordata; Mammalia; Rodentia; Cricetidae
Source: RNAcentral
CAGAAAUGUCAUAAUGUAGUCACUCC